GGAGGAGAGGAGGAGAGGAGGAGAGGAGGAGAGGAGGAGAGGAGGAGAGGAGGGAGCGGGCGGCUCCAGCACUCUCUGAAGCCGCAGCCGGGGCUUGGGGAACGGGGCACCGAGAGUGGGGCUGCUCCUUGGGGAGGAGGAGGAGGGAUGGCAGAAGAGGGACAAAGAAGGAGAGCAGGAAUGGAUGGAAGGAGGAGACGGAAAUGGGAUUAGGGAGGAGAAGGAGUAGGGAUGGAAGAGGAGGAGCGGAAGUAAAAGGAAGAGGAGAAACAAAGGAGAAUCAAGAAAAGGAGAACCACGAGAAUUCACCUCUGAAUUCACAGCCGCCCACCCACGAGAUCAUCGCCCCAAAAACCCACAGGAUUUCUCAUUCCCAAACCUUGGCAGAUGGAGGAGGAGCCUGUGAGGAAGAGGAAGAUGUCCCGAGACACCCAUGCAACAAGGAGCUGAGGAUGGAGACCAGGGAGGACAAAUCCCCACGGCAGAACCUCGUGGAAGAGGCUGUUUUGAGUGGCUCCACAGCAGAGGAAUCCAACAGGGAGGAAAAGCCCCGGAGAUCCCUCAGGAGAAGGGGCUGCAGACCCAUCCCAGGGUGCUCCGAGGAGGAAAGACCCACCCUGUGCCAGGAAGGUGGAUGGAGAUCAAGCCAGAGCUCAGACCUGGUGAACCAUGACAGGGAGAGGCCCUACAAGAGCCUGGAGUGUAGGAAGAGCUUUAGCAAGAGCAACAACCUGAUCCGCCACCAGAUAAUCCACACUGGGGAACGGCUCUACGAGUGUGGGGAGUGUGGGAAGGGCUGCAGAGACAGCUCUGACCUGAUCCACCACCAGAGAAUCCACACCAGGGAGAGAUCCUAUGAGUGUGGGGAAUGUGGGAAGAGCUUCAGUGAGAGUUCCAGGCUGACUGUCCACCAGAGAAUCCACACUGCGGGGAGGCCCUACGAGAGUGAGGAGUGUGGGAAGAGCUUUCGGAUCAGCUCCCAUCUCCUUGCACACCAGUGCACACACACAGAGGAAAGGCCCUUCCUCUGCCAUGACUGCGGGAAGGGCUUCAACCGCAACUCCACCCUCAUCAGGCACCGGUGCAUCCACACCAGGGAACAGCCCCACGAGUGUCCCCAGUGUGGGAAGAGCUUCACCCACAGCUCUGCCUUGACUGAACACCAACAGAGCCACCGGUAAGAGAAGCCCUGCUGUGCCCCAGCUGUGGGGAGAACUUCAUGUGCUGCUCCAACUCCAUCCCCCCAUCAGAGGACCUACAACGGGAAGAGCCCUGGUGAUCCACAAAUCCCCGGUGACCCACGUGGUGGAUGAGGGAAAGGCUGUGGAUGUGUCUGCCUGGACUUGAGCAAAGCCUCUGACACCGUGAGCCACAGCAUUCCCUGGAAAAGCUAAAGCCCACAGCUUCGGCAGGUUCCCUCUUUGCUGGGAGAAUGAAGAACUGUCUGGGGUUUGGGCCAGGAGAGGGAUGGGGAUGGUGCUGCAUCCAGUUGGUGUCCAGUCACUGGUGGUGUCCCCCAGGGAUGUGUGUUGGGCCCAGUCCUGUUUAACAUCUUCACUGAUGAUCUGGGUGAGGGGAUUGAGUCCAGCAGUAACAAAUUGCAGAUGGCACCAAGCUGGGUGUGAGGGUGGAUCUGCUGGAGGGCAGGACAAGGAGACACAGCCUUAGGCUGCACAGGGGAGGUUUAGGCUGGGAAAUAGGAAGAAGUUCUUCACAGAAAGGGUGAUUGGGAAUCGGAAUGGGCUGGUCAGGGGAGAGGUGACAGAGUCACUGUCCCUCUCCAGUGGCACUUAGUGGCAUGGUCUGGGUGACAAGGUGGUAUGAGGGCAUUGGUUGGACUUGAUGAUCUCAAAGGUCUUUUCCAACCUCUCUGAUUCUGUCAUUCUGUGACGAUUGGGACAUUCUGUGGAAGCAAGGGGCCAUUGUGGCACUGCGGGGCCUCAUGGAACUAAGAGGACCAUGGUGACACUGUGCAGCCCCAUAGAAUGAGGGGUCCAUUGUGGCAGUGUGGGGCCAAAUGGAACCAGGGAGUGCAAGUGACACUCUGGGUCCUCAUGGAACCAAGGGGCCACUGUGAAAGUGCAGCACCAAGGAGUGCAUUGUGACACUGUGAAGCCCCAUGGAACCAAGGAGUGCAUUGUUACUCUGCAUGGUCUCAUGGAACCGUGGAGAACAGUGUGACAGUGCAGGGCCUCGUGUAAACAAUAGGCCAUUGUGACACUGAGGGCCCUAUGGAACCAAGGACAUCUUUGCAGAUGACACCAAGCUGGGUGUGAGUGUCAAACUGCUGGAGGGCAGGAGGGCUCUGCACAGGGCCCUGAACAGGGUGGAUCCAAGGGCUAAAUCCAACAGUGUGAGGUUGAAUAAGUCGAAGUGCUGGGUCCUGCAUUUUGGCCACAAUGACCCCUGCAGCUCUACAGGCUGGGGACAGAGUGGCUGGACAGCGGCCAGGCAGAAAGGGACCUGCAGGGAGUGAUGGACAGCAGGCUGGACAUGAGCCAGCAGCGUGCCCAGGUGGCCAAGAAGGCCAAUGGCUCCUGGCCUGGAUCAGGAAUGGUAAGGCCAUAUGAACCAGAGCCGCUGUGCCAUCAUUCAUCUGCCCCCAGCUCUGCACACAGACAUUGCUGCUGCAGCUCCAGAGAAAAGAACAAAAGGGGGAGCUCUGAUGAAAACUUUGCUGGUAGAUCCUUUGUGGCAGUGUGUUAAUUUAAUCCUUUGUAUUCCUUAUGUUCUCUGUACUAGUUCAGUUUUGUGUACCCUACCCUCCUAAUUAAUAUUCCUUUGUCUCCCUCAGGAGAUGUAAUUUAUGCAUGUACCUGUUCCGUUAUGUAAUUUUCAGUUAACUGUCAAUUAUCCUUCCCGCCUUUGUAAACCCCCUCCUAUUCCUCCUUGAUUGGUCCAUGUUAUAACUCCCCACCCUGAGACUCCUUGGAUACUGGCCCUGGUUGGCUAUGGAUGGCUGACCACUCCUCUUACUCCUCCCCUCAGGUCCUGAACAAAACCCAGUGUCACCAGUUGAUCCUCGGCCAGUUGUGGGCUGAGGUGGUUUGCUCA
RNA transcript from Prinia subflava (tawny-flanked prinia), 3054 nucleotides. It is a transcript of the gene named zinc finger protein 239-like, with no coding region annotated. The transcript is spliced from 4 exons. The record is from RefSeq and is a predicted model, not a curated record. NCBI's taxonomy places the organism in Eukaryota, Metazoa, Chordata, Aves, Passeriformes, Cisticolidae.